This 468-nucleotide ribosomal RNA is filed under the name uncultured bacterium. Its description in RNAcentral is "partial 16S ribosomal RNA". It matches the Rfam family "Bacterial small subunit ribosomal RNA", at positions 28 to 507 of the family's 1533-position model. The record is from RNAcentral.
GACGAACGCUGGCGGCGUGCUUAAUACAUGCAAGUCGAACGGAAAGGCCCUGCUUUUGUGGGGUGCUCGAGUGGCGAACGGGUGAGUAACACGUGAGUAACCUGCCCUUGACUUUGGGAUAACUUCAGGAAACUGGGGCUAAUACCGGAUAGGAGCUCCUGCUGCAUGGUGGGGGUUGGAAAGUUUCGGCGGUUGGGGAUGGACUCGCGGCUUAUCAGCUUGUUGGUGGGGUAGUGGCUUACCAAGGCUUUGACGGGUAGCCGGCCUGAGAGGGUGACAGGGCACAUUGGGACUGAGAUACGGGCCAGACUGCUACGGGAGGCAGCAGUGGGGAAUAUUGCACAAUGGGCGGAAGCCUGAUGCAGCAACGCCGCGUGCGGGAUGACGGCCUUCGGGUUGUAAACCGCUUUCGCCUGUGACGAAGCGUGAGUGACGGUAAUGGGUAAAGAAGCACCGGCUAACUACGUG